GCUUUAACUCCGCCUGUAGUAUCUCCAGAGGUCACUGACGGUCCCAAGCCCGGUUAGAGGAGGAGGGCUGAGC
Molecule: non-coding RNA, 73 nt
Filed under: Schistosoma mansoni
Lineage: Eukaryota; Metazoa; Platyhelminthes; Trematoda; Strigeidida; Schistosomatidae
Source: RNAcentral